AGAGCUAAAUCCAGCCCUCUGUGGCUCCCUCUGAGCCCACUGUGGGAUGCACCUCGCUCCUGAGAAGGCGCUGAGCUGAGAGGAAGCCGCUGUGCUUUCUGAGCCUUGGCACAUCCUCACUUCCCGGUCCUGUUGCAUUUCCAGCCUCUGGACAAUCAUGUCACACCUCUGCUCUCCUGCCUGUCAUUAAGGCUCAUCUUUAGGAAACAUUUCUUGUCAGUUAGUCUUGCCAGAAUUCAAGAAGGUUAAGGGAGAAUAAAGGAUGGUCCAAAAAAGAACAAGGAAAAUGAAAAUUUGAAAAAGGGAGCCAUUCCUGAGAGGUUAUUUCACCUGCAGCAGAGUGACCGAGGAAGGAGUGCCUAGCUACCUUUAUGCCUGUGGAGGGAAGAGGUGCCUGGGCUGAUUUUUUUCCACCUUGGCAGAAGUGACUGGAGGCGGAGGAACAGGGAUCUUCAAUACGUACUCCCAUUCUGGGGCUGCUUCUGCUCUAAAAACAGAGCCAAGCAGUUCAGGAAAUCUGCCGAGAAGGCCACCAAGCAAAAUCCUAAGAGCAGCUGGUCUGGAGCCAGGCAGGUUGUGCUACAGUUGCAUGUCACUGUUGACUUCAGAAGAUGCUGCUGCUCUAGGAAGCAUAGAAGAGGUGAAUGCUGAGGGGAGAGAUGUCAAAGCAUGGGGAGAAAUGGAAAUCAGGAGACCAACUUACAAGCAAUUGACACUGGUCAAGUGAGAAGUUAGCGACAUGAAGUCGGCGGUGGCAGUAGCAAUGGAAAAGAGGAAGCAGGAUGAAAAACAAUGAGGAGAUGGACUCUUAAGGGCUUGCUAGGUGGAUGUGGGAGCCAAACGAAAAGUGAGGAACAAUCACAAUUUCCUGAUUUGGAGUGCUGGCAAAGAAAAAUGAUGGUUCUAUUAACAGAGUUAGAGGAAUCAGCAAGAUGACAGUUUGCUUGGAAUUCAGUGAAUCUAAGGCACAUACAAGUCCUCAUUUGAGGAGAAAAAAGGAGGAAGAGGUAUUGUGUUCGUUAGAUGCUGGGACAUGUAAGGCUAAGAUACAAGAGAUAGUCUUCCUUCAUGGCUUUGCUCAGGUUUCUGAAAUCAUAAAGAUUACAGGGCCCUGGGAAGUGAUAAAUGCUAUUGGAGAAUAUGUUUUGGACUAGCAGUCACAGAAUUAGAGACCAGUUCUUGCCUUUGGAAAGGAUGUUUCAGGCUAGAGGGGAUGGUGUGGAUUAGUGUUCUUUCCAGUAGAAGCUCCACCUGUCAUCUGUCCAUCCAUUCAGCCAUCCAUCCAUCCCACUAUCCGUUACUUCUUGAGCAUCUCCUAUUUUUUAACUCUGCACUUCUAAAGAGUCAAAGAACAAAGAUCAGCUUCAUCCCUGGAUUAGCAGAAUACAGCCAGUAAAUCACUAAAUCUCCACAUAGAAUAUUUGGCAUUAACUCCUCAGUCCCUUCCCUUGUGUAACUGGUCAGAGGUGCUGAGGGGUCUUCUUGCAGACCAAUGAUUGGUUAACACGUUCUUUUCAGCUAAAUGACAAACAGUUUAAUUCCAAUAGAAUGCCUAAAAGUCCUUCUCAGAACUGACAUUGGGAUUAUCUACAUUUUAUAUUAUUCAUUGCAAAUUUAAAUUUCUUAUCAGUUUCUGGAAUGCUCGAGCCCUCUCAACAUCUGUUCUUCACAGUGUCCACAUUUUAUGCUCAGAGAAUGCAAAUUACCUUUAAUAUUAGCUUUGCCUACAAAUAAAGACGGAUCUGCUUUCAGAGUACCUCCAGUGCACUGCGACGUGUUCACCAUCUUCUCUGACCUGUCCCUGCCCUUUAAUAAGAAUUCUCGAGUUGAUUGAGCUUUCAUACUUUGGACAGUAUCAGCCUGGUGAGACGGCUUGGUGGAUUUCCCAGCUUGCACCUCUCCAAAGAGAAGAUGUCAUUUGCUAUCUCAGUCUCCAGAUGUCCAAAACUUACUUUUGUUGGUCACUAAGAGCAAAAUUGUCAAACAGGUGACAGUUUUGGUAAGUAUAUUGCUUAGGACUAUUUAUUCUUUAAGAAAAAUUUUAAAUAACUUAUUAAAACUAUUUUGAAAACUAAACAAAUAAGUCAAUAAAUAGACAGCCCAACUCAAACUGGCUUCAACAACAGAGGGGAUUUAUUGGCUUACUCUAUUGAAAGAACAAGGAAGAACAGAAUUCAAGGUUGGUUUGAACCAACAGAUCCAUUAAGUCAUCAAGGUCCUGGUUUUAUUUUAACUUUUUUCCCUAUUUGCAUUCAGGCCAGUUUCCUUUAGGAUGGCAAAGUGUCCGAGGCUCUAGGGUAGUUAUCGUCAAGCCACACUGUCCAGGAGUGAGGUUGGCUUUGGUGGCUCUUUCGGACAAAGUUGAGAACUUACUCUCUCAGAAAUCCUAGCAAACUUUCCCUCAAGACUCAGAUGGGAAAAGGCCAUUUGUUGAUUGGCAUAGACUUCAUUUACCUGAACCAAUCAUUGUGGCAGGAGGACUGGAAUCUAAUCUCUGAUUGGUCCAACCUUGCAGCUGGUGGGGUCAAUCUCCAUUUAAAUCCCAUGGCUACUGCACAGUGGAGGAAAGAAGAAUUAUUGGGGAUUCAGCUGUAAUUUCUACUACAGUAAGACUUUAAACAUUUUCAGUAUUCAAUCAAUCAGCAUGUUUUGAGUGCCUUCUACAAGCAAUGAACCCUACUAGAUUUUGGCAAUCGACUAUAAAAUUCCUGGUCUUGACCUUUACGACUACUGUGAUGACAAAGCAAUGAUUGAAAGCUUAGAGCAACGGGCUGAUUCUGUCCUUCAGAGGUGAGUGUGGAGGGAGCUCGUUAGAAGAAUUAUAGUAGGUACCUAGAAUUUGAACAAUUCAAAUGAAGAAGUUUCAAAGCACCUAAGCAGGAACCUCUUAUUUGCAUUAAAAAAGGUAGGAGUAACUGAGAAGUUUCUUUCCUCCCCCCUCCCAUGUCUAUGUUUGAUGACAGUUGUUUGGAGGAAAUCAUGUCCACUAGACCCAGUGAGCUGUGGUACAACUCCAGUUAAUAUUUGACUAUUGGCUUCCUGUUACACAGAAAACUAAUAGUGAAGAAUAAACCACAAUGUAAGUUAAGUCUCUUCUCCUUUUCUCCCUCCCUUUUGGUGUCUCCACCCCUUUAAAGAGAUGCCUUUCUGUUUAGAGGAUGUGUUCUCUGUUCAUCCCAACUGGAGAAAGUGGGGAGAAUCCUUUGAUGAUAUUUGAACUCUCUUGUCUACUUUCCAAAGUGGUUGAAGGAAGUUCCAGUGACCAAGUCUUCCAAAGAUUCUGCCUCAUUUCAUGGCUUCUUGAGCAGAUAUCCGGCUGCCCGUCUUAGAGGUGAUCCACAUUUGUAGGUGAAGUAGAAGAGAGAAGAUGAAAAGAAAAUUGAAAAGAAAAUAGAGCUUUGGUGUGUGGUGUCAACAUGUGUCAAAAUGACAUAACUCCCCACGGAGAGAAAAGAAACUUCUAGUCCCAAGGACAAAACCCACCUGUUUUACUUAAUCCUCAAUUCCCCGUCUCACCACGUUCCCCCUCCAACCCUUGACAGAUUGAAGGAUCUUGUUGGCUCCGAUUGAUUCCCUGAACACCUGUGUCCACCAGACUGUCCUUUAUGGAUAUUUCCUGAUCUCUUGGCUUCGGCUGGCUUGUGUCUCCAUGGUAACAGGGAGUGGGGAGGGGGACGUGGGGGCAGCUCAGUCCAUUUGUCAUCAAUUGCCACUGUUUUGUUCUGCUUGGUGUGUGCUCUCAAUUGAGUCCUGGAGGAGGCAAAGCAGAACAGAGAGAUUCGGCUGAAGGACUGCUCCCGCCCUCUGAAACCGGGGGUGGGGGGAUGUAGCCGAGGGGACUGUCUUCAGAGAGGGAGAGAGCCCGGGUAUAGAGAUUAUAACCAAAUGCCAACCUUCUCUGGGAGAAUAAUUUUUCUGUGACUCAGAUUUUAUGUUUUAGGAGGGAGGAUGGCAUUCGUGUCCAUCCAAAGACCUUUAUUAUUUUGUUAAAGUAAGAGGAAGGAAAUUUUGCAACCUCCCCAUAAUAUAGAAUAAGAUGUCGUCUUUCUUAUUCUGGGUUGGAAUUUUUACUUAAAAAAAAAGUGAUUGGACUCCCACCGUGUCACUGCCUUAAACAGACCACGAGUUGUGCAUCUUGUUUCAUUUUGUGCCUUCUCUGUGUGCUGUGCAUUCAUUUAGAUGAUUCACAAAAGCCUGUCCCCUGUGCCUCCCCCGAUCAGGAUUAAAGAGCUCAAGCCCUGCCAGUUGGGUGGAAGCAUUGCUGGUUGGACCCAGCCUAUGAAUGCCCUUCUUCCCACUGAUCUGGGCCCGAGGAACUCUUUGUUUUGUUCCACUCCGAUCUUUGCCCUUAGCAGAGGCUCAGACCCAGUUCCUCCCAGACUCGUGAUGACUUGGAUGAUGUCCUCUCUCUCAUUCCAUGAGGAACUCACCAGUGUGAUCAAAUUCAAUGGCCCCUUCUCCAUCUGUUUACUAUUUGGCCUCUCUGCAUCAUUUACAACAUGUUAUCACUCCUCCUCUGCAACUUCUCUUCUUGGGCUCCCGUCACACAGAAUGCUCUGUGUUCUUUCUUCCUCUCUCUUGGUGCUUCUUGAUCAUCCUUCUUGGGUCUUUUGUUUCCUUCCACAAUUUCAAAGUUGGUAUUGUCCAAGGCUCUGUUCUUGGCCUGCUUUUCAUACUCCUCCUCACUCCUUGCAAUGUCAUCCACACCUAUAGCCUUAACCAUGAACUCUGAGGCUGACUCUCAAACCUGCCUCUAAACCAGGUCGCGCUUCUGAGCAACUCUGCAUGGAAAUGUACAAACUAUUCAAAACGAAUUUGACUUUCUCUUCAACUUGCCCUCCAUUUUCUCUGGUAUUGUUAGCAUCUGCGUUCUCCCAGUUGCUCAGACUUAAAAGCUUUGUAUCAUCUUUGAUUAUGCCUACAUAUGCCACAACUCUCAUCAGUCUUAUUUUCCUCCUCUGCCACUUUCUCCUCCUCCUUCUUCUCUGCGUGCCCCCCCCCCCCCCCCCCCCCCCCCCCCCCCCCCCCCCCCCC
Molecule: long non-coding RNA, 5034 nt
Filed under: Equus caballus (horse)
Lineage: Eukaryota; Metazoa; Chordata; Mammalia; Perissodactyla; Equidae
Description: lncRNA (ENSECAG00000055345.1)
Source: RNAcentral